GGAGAGGUGGCAGAGCGGUUGAAUGCACCGGUCUUGAAAACCGGAGGGUCCGCAAGGGCCUCGCGAGUUCGAAUCUCGCCCUCUCCG
Molecule: transfer RNA, 87 nt
Filed under: Patescibacteria group bacterium
Lineage: Bacteria
Description: tRNA-Ser
Rfam family: tRNA
About the family: Transfer RNA (tRNA) molecules are approximately 80 nucleotides in length. Their secondary structure includes four short double-helical elements and three loops (D, anti-codon, and T loops).
Source: RNAcentral